CUCACUCCUCUAUUCCACAACUCUAUAACUAAUCACUUCUUCCAUGCCUCACUAAGCUCUUCUUCACUCCUCUAUUCCACAACUCUAUAACUAAUCACUUCUUUUUCUCUCCCUUCUUCCAUGUCUCACUAAGCUCUUCUUCACUCCUCUAAUCCACAACUCUAUAACUAAUCGCUUUAUUUCUCUCCCUUCUUCCAUGUCUCACUAAGCUCUUCUUCCUUUUAAUCCACAACUAACCACCUUUCCUCUUUUCACGACUCACCAAGCUCCUCUCCUCUCUUCUCUCCACUGAUCUACCACAACUAACCACUUCUCUUUGGUCUAGGUUAAUCUCAACUGAAGUAUCGACACGGUUGCUAAUUUAUCAGGACCUUUUUUGGAUAUAUUGUAUGUGAAAAUUGUGGGUCCUCUUCCUGUUUCUGCUCCUCCUCCUCCUCCUUCUUCCAUUUCAUCUUUCUUCUUCUUCUUCUCUUUUCCUCCUUCUCAAACUCCUUCAUCUCCUUCUUCAUUCUCUUCCUUUCCUCCUCCUCCUCCUUCUCCACCUCCAUUUUCUGUUCCCUCUUUCUUCUCCUUCUCCUUUUUAUUUUCCUCUCCUCCUCCUCCUUCUCCUCCUACUCCUUCUUCUAUCUCUUCUUUUCCUCCUCCUCCUCGUUCUCCACCUCCUCAAAAUCUCUACCCGUCAAUCACUAUAAAAAUAUCAACAGAAAUAUACAUACAUACGACAGCACUUUUUUUCCAUCGACAGGUCAAGUAACAUUACAGGCUUGAAAAUAUAUACAGUGCAUUCUUAAAGGGUCUCUAUCGACCAGUCAUUAUAAAUAUAUCAACACCGAAAAAAAAAUAUAUAUACAACACAACCUCUAUUCACGACGGCAGUUAAACGUAGGUAGGUGUGAAAAUAUAGUGUGGUUUUUAUCAUGUUUUUGUCUACUACUAUAGGUCACUCACUAUUAAUAUCAACACAGGACUUCAACAGCCCCAGAAAUGAUUUAAUCUCACUUGUAUAGCACUGCCACAUAGCACAACUCUCUCUGGUACUUGUCUUGUGUUAAACCGAGUCUGGUGCAGUCCAAAGAUUCUGUGCUAAAUCGCUUAAUCUCACUCAUAUAAUACUUCCAAUAAGCAUGACUCUCUGGUACCUGUCUUGUGUUAAACCGAGUCUGGUGCAGUCCAAAGAAUCUGUCCUAAAUCGCUUAAUCUCACUCAUAUGAUACUUCCAGUUAGCAUGACUCUCCCUGGUACUUGUCUUGUGUUAAACCGAGUCUGCUGUGGUCCAAAGAUUCUGUGCUAAAUCGCUUAAUCUCACUCAUAUAAUACUUCCAAAUUAGCAUGCCUCUCCCUGGUACUUGUCUUGUGUUAAACCGAGUCUGCUGUGGUCCAGAGAUUCUGUGCUAAAUCGCUUAAUCUCACGCAAAUAACACUUCCAUUUAAAUAGCACUGGACACUACCAUUUAAAUAACGAUGGACACUUGAUAACAUCUAUUUAUUUCUUUAGUAUCAACAGAGGCCCCAACAAGUCACAACCUUAUUUUCUUUUCCACAGUUUAACAUAGCUAUGAAAAUUAGUGCGUUCGUAAAGGUUUCCCAAUACAUCAGUCACAAUAAAGAUAUCAAUGCAGGUCUUAACAUAUCACAAACUUAUUUUUUUCCUUUCGACAGUUCAGUGACAGUUCAACGUAGGUGUGAAAAAUUGUGCAUUAGUAAAGGUCUUUCAACAGGUCAGUCCUUAUAAAGAUAUCAACACAGGUCUUAACAUAUCACAACCUUAUUUUCUCUUCCGACAUUUCAACCUUGG
Long non-coding RNA from Eriocheir sinensis (Chinese mitten crab), 1795 nucleotides. RefSeq lists it as uncharacterized. The record is from RefSeq and is a predicted model, not a curated record. The transcript is spliced from 2 exons. Lineage: Eukaryota; Metazoa; Arthropoda; Malacostraca; Decapoda; Varunidae.